Molecule: transfer RNA, 77 nt
Filed under: Endobacter medicaginis
Lineage: Bacteria; Pseudomonadati; Pseudomonadota; Alphaproteobacteria; Acetobacterales; Acetobacteraceae
Description: tRNA-Arg
Rfam family: tRNA
About the family: Transfer RNA (tRNA) molecules are approximately 80 nucleotides in length. Their secondary structure includes four short double-helical elements and three loops (D, anti-codon, and T loops). Further hydrogen bonds mediate the characteristic L-shaped molecular structure. tRNAs have two regions of fundamental functional importance: the anti-codon, which is responsible for specific mRNA codon recognition, and the 3' end, to which the tRNAs corresponding amino acid is attached (by aminoacyl-tRNA synthetases). tRNAs cope with the degeneracy of the genetic code in two manners: having more than one tRNA (with a specific anti-codon) for a particular amino acid; and 'wobble' base-pairing, i.e. permitting non-standard base-pairing at the 3rd anti-codon position.
Source: RNAcentral
GCGCCCUUAGCUCAGAUGGAUAGAGCAUCAGCCUUCUAAGCUGGCGGUCGCUGGUUCGAAUCCAGCAGGGCGUGCCA